AUUGAACGCUGGCGGCAUGCCUUACACAUGCAAGUCGAACGGUAACAGGUCUUCGGACGCUGACGAGUGGCGAACGGGUGAGUAAUGCAUCGGAACGUGCCCAGUCGUGGGGGAUAACUGCUCGAAAGAGCAGCUAAUACCGCAUACGACCUGAGGGUGAAAGCGGGGGACCGUAAGGCCUCGCGCGAUUGGAGCGGCCGAUGUCAGAUUAGCUAGUUGGUGGGGUAAAGGCCUACCAAGGCAACGAUCUGUAGUUGGUCUGAGAGGACGACCAGCCACACUGGGACUGGGACACGGCCCAGACUCCUAAGGGAGGGAGCAGUGGGGAAUUUUGGACAAUAGGCGCAAGCCUGAUCCAGCAAUGCCGCGUGCAGGAAGAAGGCCUUCGGGUUGUAAACUGGUUUUGUCAGGGAAAAAAUCUUCUGGGCUAAUACCCCGGGAGGAUGACGGUACCUGAAGAAUAAGCACCGGCUAACUACGUG
This 482-nucleotide ribosomal RNA is filed under the name uncultured bacterium. RNAcentral's name for it is "partial 16S ribosomal RNA". It matches the Rfam family "Bacterial small subunit ribosomal RNA", at positions 30 to 507 of the family's 1533-position model. The record is from RNAcentral.